RNAcentral lists this ribosomal RNA (390 nucleotides) under uncultured bacterium. Its description in RNAcentral is "bacterial SSU rRNA". It matches the Rfam family "Bacterial small subunit ribosomal RNA", at positions 30 to 419 of the family's 1533-position model. The record is from RNAcentral.
AUUGAACGCUGGCGGCAUGCCUUACACAUGCAAGUCGAACGGCAGCACGGGAGCAAUCCUGGUGGCGAGUGGCGAACGGGUGAGUAAUAUAUCGGAACGUGCCCAGUCGUGGGGGAUAACGUAGCGAAAGCUACGCUAAUACCGCAUACGAUCUAUGGAUGAAAGCGGGGGGAUCGCAAGACCUCGCGCGAUUGGAGCGGCCGAUAUCAGAUUAGGUAGUUGGUGAGGUAAAGGCUCACCAAGCCGACGAUCUGUAGCUGGUCUGAGAGGACGACCAGCCACACUGGGACUGAGACACGGCCCAGACUCCUACGGGAGGCAGCAGUGGGGAAUUUUGGACAAUGGGCGCAAGCCUGAUCCAGCAAUGCCGCGUGCAGGAUGAAGGCCUUC